This 503-nucleotide ribosomal RNA is filed under the name uncultured bacterium. RNAcentral describes it as "partial 16S ribosomal RNA". It matches the Rfam family "Bacterial small subunit ribosomal RNA", at positions 30 to 523 of the family's 1533-position model. The record is from RNAcentral.
AUUGAACGCUGGCGGCAGGCUUAACACAUGCAAGUCGAGCGGGGUGAUGGUGCUUGCACUAUCACUUAGCGGCGGACGGGUGAGUAAUGCUUAGGAAUCUGCCUAUUAGUGGGGGACAACAUCUCGAAAGGGAUGCUAAUACCGCAUACGUCCUACGGGAGAAAGCAGGGGAUCACUUGUGACCUUGCGCUAAUAGAUGAGCCUAAGUCGGAUUAGCUAGUUGGUGGGGUAAAGGCCUACCAAGGCGACGAUCUGUAGCGGGUCUGAGAGGAUGAUCCGCCACAUUGGGACUGAGACACGGCCCAGACUCCUACGGGAGGCAGCAGUGGGGGAUAUUGGACAAUGGGGGGAAGCCUGAUCCAGCCAUGCCGCGUGUGUGAAGAAGGCCUUAUGGUUGUAAAGCACUUUAAGCGAGGAGGAGGCUCUUUUGGUUAAUACCCAAGAUGAGUGGACGUUACUCGCAGAAUAAGCACCGGCUAACUCUGUGCCAGCAGCCGCCGCGG